GGAGUUAGAAACUGGACAGGGGAAACCUUUACCUUUUUAUUGAUCUUAAGGAUUGAUUUGGCUGAUCUGGCAAAUUCAGUGGCUGAUUCCCCCUGCCUUCACCACUCCAUGUGUGUCCCUCCUGAAACUACACCCUCGGAGGUCACGUCAGAUCACCCCAGAUAGAUCAAGGGAGUGCAAGAAACUGCAGUUCCCUGCUAGAAUCUCCAAAAUCCAUUUAUAGGACACUUGAUGUAUUGUAGAGCUAAUUGACCACCUGGGUGUCAAACAUCUGUACUUUAGACUUAGAGAAAUAUUC
Molecule: small nuclear RNA, 298 nt
Filed under: Notechis scutatus (mainland tiger snake)
Lineage: Eukaryota; Metazoa; Chordata; Lepidosauria; Squamata; Elapidae
Description: 7SK RNA (ENSNSUG00000006151.1)
Rfam family: 7SK RNA
About the family: 7SK was discovered as an abundant small nuclear RNA in the mid-70s but a possible function has only recently been suggested. Two independent studies have found that 7SK RNA binds the CDK9/cyclin T complex (known as elongation factor P-TEFb). P-TEFb activates transcription by phosphorylating the C-terminal domain of RNA polymerase II.
Source: RNAcentral